RNAcentral lists this long non-coding RNA (1411 nucleotides) under Oryctolagus cuniculus (rabbit). Its description in RNAcentral is "lncRNA (ENSOCUG00000032836.1)". Lineage: Eukaryota; Metazoa; Chordata; Mammalia; Lagomorpha; Leporidae. The record is from RNAcentral.
GCCUGGAUCUUGCCCUUUCAUCUCAAGCUAAGCGACUAUGUUUGGGCCCUGCAAUGAGCUUAAGGUCUGUUUGCCAAGUACAGUAGCUGCUGGACUGUUUGCCAACCACCUGGAAGGACUGCCUGUCUGACCAAGAGUACGCAGGGGCCUGACUCACGGCCCCCACUCGAAGGGUGAAUGGAAAGUCUGUUGGUUCGCAGCUCACCAUGUACAAGAUCCACGCUCGCCAAGGCCUCUUGCUGGCACCCGGCUGCUGAUAAACCUGUCAGGAACAAUUGUAUCCCAGUGCACAUGGGCUGCCAACCCCCUGCCUGCCGGGGUUUCACCUUCCAGAUUGCUCCCUUGCCUGAACAAUUGAAAUUGGAAGGGGAGGGCUUGUUUCCUUCAUACUCCUUCCCUGGUUGUUCCUAGAUGUUGGACCCUGCUUCCAAAGGGACCCAAUAUGGAAAGACAAGGCUCCUGUCACUGAGUCAGUGGGCAAGUGAGGUCAGAAAAUUAGGAUGAGCCACCCUCAAGGCCCAGCCCCAGCCCACAGAGAGGAGAAGGGCUGAGAUAGGAGCCAGAAACACCAGAAUGUCAACCCAGACUCUCCCAUUUACAAGAUGAACCUUGGACAUAGCACAUAUUUCACCAGGCCUCAAUUCCUUUCUACUUCCAAAGCAGAGAUGAUAACAGCACCCCUGUCACUAUUUUGUCUUGAGGAUGGAUUGCAGUGAAUAACAAGUACAUAGCACAAGGUCUGACAGCGAGUACUGACAGAUGGACCACAAAUGUCAUGUCGUCAUUGCUGUCAUCAUCAGCAUCACCAUCCUUGUCCUCAGGAGGUGAUGGAAAGCUAGACUAUUGGCAGGGAAGCAGUAAAGGAAAGACAGGCCAGACAAGAGGACAUCAGGAACCUUAGCUGAAACAUUAUUGCCCUCAGGGUAUCUGUACUCAGGGAUUGCUCUCAGGGUAUCUGUACUCAGGAAGGCAAAGUGGGCUAGCACCAGAGAAGUAUUCUCCUUCUGCUAGUAGCAGCACAUGGUGCUUGACGUCAGCGUUUGGAAUCCUCUUUGGAGUGGUAACGGGAAACAAGGCAGCAGUGGACUUUCUCCAAAAUUGGUGGAUGCCAACAUCCGAUGUCUCUGUUCAGAAUAGGAACCACCUCCAGCACCUUCCACCAUUGUGUAACUUGCAGACUGCACUGACUUCCUCUGAGCUCACUUCUUUUGCAAGGUGAGGGCCAGCAUCCAAGGUCUUCUUGCUGGAGGCUUCUCUCCUUUUCCUCCUCCAGCCCAUCCCUGUCCCUUCCCUGUGCUGAAAUUCUUUAUCCUACCUGUGAAUGGUGCUUAAUAUGGCUGGUAGAGAUUUGGAUAUUCCUGACUGGAAUUCCACAUUACAACCCAAAACCUGCUUGGGGGCCAGUGGAGUA